Molecule: ribosomal RNA, 80 nt
Filed under: Phellinus laevigatus
Lineage: Eukaryota; Fungi; Basidiomycota; Agaricomycetes; Hymenochaetales; Hymenochaetaceae
Description: partial 28S ribosomal RNA
Rfam family: Eukaryotic large subunit ribosomal RNA
Source: RNAcentral
UGACCUCAAAUCAGGUAGGAUUACCCGCUGAACUUAAGCAUAUCAAUAAGCGGAGGAAAAGAAACUAACAAGGAUUCAAG